CCUACGGGAGGCAGCAGUAGGGAGUUUUCGGCAAUGGGGGAAACCCUGACCGAGCAACGCCGCGUGAGGGAUGAAGGUUUUCGGAUCGUAAACCUCUGUCUUCAGGGACGAUAAUGACGGUACCUGAUGAGGAAGCCACGGCUAACUACGUGCCAGCAGCCGCGGUAAU
RNAcentral lists this ribosomal RNA (169 nucleotides) under uncultured bacterium. RNAcentral describes it as "partial 16S ribosomal RNA". It matches the Rfam family "Bacterial small subunit ribosomal RNA", at positions 338 to 524 of the family's 1533-position model. The record is from RNAcentral.